Molecule: ribosomal RNA, 497 nt
Filed under: uncultured bacterium
Lineage: Bacteria
Description: partial 16S ribosomal RNA
Rfam family: Bacterial small subunit ribosomal RNA
Source: RNAcentral
GAUGAACGCUGGCGGCGUGCCUAAUACAUGCAAGUCGAGCGAACAGACGAGGAGCUUGCUCCUCUGACGUUAGCGGCGGACGGGUGAGUAACACGUGGAUAACCUACCUAUAAGACUGGGAUAACUUCGGGAAACCGGAGCUAAUACCGGAUAAUAUAUUGAACCGCAUGGUUCAAUAGUGAAAGACGGUUUUGCUGUCACUUAUAGAUGGAUCCGCGCCGCAUUAGCUAGUUGGUAAGGUAACGGCUUACCAAGGCAACGAUGCGUAGCCGACCUGAGAGGGUGAUCGGCCACACUGGAACUGAGACACGGUCCAGACUCCUACGGGAGGCAGCAGUAGGGAAUCUUCCGCAAUGGGCGAAAGCCUGACGGAGCAACGCCGCGUGAGUGAUGAAGGUCUUCGGAUCGUAAAACUCUGUUAUUAGGGAAGAACAACUGUGUAAGUAACUAUGCACGUCUUGACGGUACCUAAUCAGAAAGCCACGGCUAGCUACGUG